GCCUUCUGUUAGCUCCUUUCACCAACUUGGUGCUUUGCUCUUCAAUCUCGAUGUCAGAUGAAACCUGGGCUAUGCAGAAAAGAAGGAUUGCCACCAAAAGAAGAGAGCGUAAAGCCAUUUAAAAGUACUACCAGUCUGAAGGUGUUGACGUGAUCUAACCAAUGGGCUUUGUUAAGAGUGUGCUGGGAUAGUGAGUACCGAGCCUGGUAGUUUAUUUAUAGUAUAGUUGGCUCAAUUACCAAUUCACCCACGGGCUUUGUUU
RNAcentral lists this unclassified non-coding RNA (262 nucleotides) under Hevea brasiliensis (rubber tree). Lineage: Eukaryota; Viridiplantae; Streptophyta; Magnoliopsida; Malpighiales; Euphorbiaceae. The record is from RNAcentral.